Long non-coding RNA from Harpia harpyja (harpy eagle), 3223 nucleotides. RefSeq lists it as uncharacterized. NCBI's taxonomy places the organism in Eukaryota, Metazoa, Chordata, Aves, Accipitriformes, Accipitridae. The transcript has 2 exons. The record is from RefSeq and is a predicted model, not a curated record.
AGAGCGGUGUGAUCACUGUUUGUUUUUCUGUACGGCACUGUGAAAAACAAUGGGUGUUUUAAAGAGCAAGUAAGAGAAGUGUGAUCGUGCUUUACUGUCUCACACUGGAGGGGAGAGCAAAGGAAGCACUUGGUUACAUACAAGGCAGUUCAUGUUCCCUAACAUGAAAUAUCAUUUCUUUAGUUCCAAAGUUUCCAGGAGACACUGACUUCUUGUCUCUCCUCUUCCAACCAAGAAGCAAGUUGCCUCGUUUUCCCGAGAUGCUCCGUAUGCUUUGUUUCCUCAUGAAACAUGAAGCAUCAUGUGCUCUGUUACCCUUCUGAGACUGAAAUGUUUCACCCGUGGCUGUACCCCAGGCUCAGUGCGAAGUUAAAUCAGCACAAUGGAGCCCUGAAGACCUCCUCUUGGAGCUCACUGCAGCGUAAUGAUGCCAAGCGAAUGCCUGUUUGCCUCUCUAGGGAAGGGUCUCUUAAAUACUGUGCGUAUUCCUAAUUUUUCCAUCUUGCUGUCCCACCUCCAGUUAAAGCUCCUUGUCAUAGCCAGAUAGCAGGGAGAGCUGUGGUUAAACAAGAUCUCCCUGCACCCCUCCCCCCAUGCCUGUUGUGUUUCCAAAACUCCCAAUUCAAUAAUAUAUUAGCUUGAUUCGUAGAAAAACUGUGGACCAAAUGCCUACCUCUCUUCUCGUGUUUCUACAGGGCUUCCAGGAAUGAAAAGAAUUAGCACACAGACAGCCGAUUUCUCUAGCACACCACAGAGCUGUAUUUAGUGUGGCCUCAAACCUAGACUGGAUUCCCACUGGACACCAUACAAAUGUUUAAUAAUUAAUGUCUCUUUUUAAAAAAUCAAAGGGGGUGGAAAGAGGUUGAUCUAUCCCAGCAGUUCUUAACUGAGAGAUGGUAAUGGAUUGAAGAAGCCUAAAUUCUUCCUACCCUCUAAUAUUUCUUGUCAGGAACAGUAAACAAGCCCCGCAUUUUUGGGACAGUGGUGCUCAGCAUUCCUGGAGCACUAAUGGGAAUAUUAAGUAUAAGACAGCUAUGAGUCACUGUGGUUCUUAUUCAAGUCAAAAGCAUAAAUAGCACUUCUCAUAUAUCCAUGCUGUGUCAGUCAAAGAUACUGCAUUUCCUUUCCCCUCUGCCUCUAAUAAACAUCCGCCGACCUUAAGCUGGUAUAUACAGGAAACAGCCUGUUGGUUAUUGUGUAAAACUGAUAAGGUCCCCUGGGAUGCUUUAUCUGUCUCUGUUGUGCGUAUAAAUUUAGCUUCAGUCAUUGUAGGUUUUGUUCUUUUACCCUUUUUCCUCUCCUCCUUUUUUAAUGCCUGCUAAGUAAACAUGGCAUUAUGGAAAAGGGGAUAAAGUAAUUUUUUAGCAUAAUAAGAUCAACACCCAGAGACUUCAGAUUCUAUCAAUACACUUUGCCUUUCAGUUCUUCCGCCUGCAUCUUUCUUACAAAUAAUGGGUUUCUCUGUUUUGAAAUCUAUACCUGUUAUUUGUUACUGUACCCUACCCACACCCCUAUUUCAUGCAAUUGUAAAUUGCAGCAGACCGGAGUGCCUGUCACUAUGAUUUUGCUCUGAGACAUGAUGGUAUUUACAGCAGUACUGUAUUCCUGUCUGCGUUUAUGGCAGGUUAUGGAGCUUUCCUGCUCGGCGCAGUGCUGUGAGAUGGCAGCCAGAAUUAUCUUUUAAUGCAGCGCUCUCAAGAGGUUGAGUUCUUGAAGCUGUAGAGCAAUUAACACUCUUAAUACUUCCAGUAUUGCUUAAGGGUUUGGUGUUGGGAGGGUGGAGCUAGGGUUUGGGAUUUUUGUUUUGUAUUUAAGAGAGUCCUAUCUCUCAUUCUUAAUUAUUGGUACAUGGGCCAAAAAUACAGCCAGCAGUGUCUCAAAGGUGCCUCCAGCUUCUGGGUGGGACGUGUGCAGUGCAAUACCGUUGUUCCUCACUUUUGCUUGCGGUGUGCUCCAUACCAAAAGCGUGUUGGAGACCUGAAGAAUGUGGCUGGAUGUAGCAAUCCUUCCUUACUCUGCAGCCUCUCAGGGACCAUUUGAUUUGGGUUGUCCCAAGGUGACUGAAUCUCUUUUUAAGGUUCACUUGCUGCCUUCUGUUAUGACUCAUCUUCCAUUCGGGAGUUGGGUGCUGGACAGAGAAGAUUCAGGCCAGACAUUUUACCAGCUACUUCUCAAAGGCUGAAGUUGUAAUUGGGCAAGCUAACUGCCACUUGUGCCUUGGAAAAUCCCCUGCAAUGUUGUAGCCUAACUCUCACUGUCCCUUGGUGGAAACUGGGCACCUGCAUACUGGUGUUGGCUUUCAAAAUGUCCUCUUUGGUCUCUCUCUCUGAACGUGGCUGAGUGACUCCCUUUAUUGCUGAACAAGCCGGUGGGGUCUUGCUGCCGCUCCUGUAAAUACUGUUAUGGCUGCGUAUGGGGUGUGUUGAGGGCCAGCAAUUUACGUUACUCUUGGUUUCAUGGCAGAAAAUCUCUCUCUGCCAUGAGAAGCCAACAGCCUACAGGAGAAACAAAACAAGUGAGGAGCAUUCAAAGGGGCAUGCCUUUACCAACCCCAGACACAAAAAAAGAUGCUGGAUUGGGCCUGCUAUGUAUACACUCUGUGUUGGACAGCAUGGCUGCUGCAUAACCAAGAUAACGGGUUUGCUUAGCUUUUGGUUAGCUAAGUAACCUUGGCCCAGAUCACAGAACAAGUUAAUUAUCUGAGCAUUAACCUAUUUUCUCAGGUGAAUUUCAGCUCUCACUGACCUUUCUGCUUCUGGUGUGUUUUCCAUUACUCUUAGCUGGCUCAAAGCUAGCUCAGCAGGUACAUCCAUAUUAGUGGCCUUAACUGCGGUAUAGACUUACUCUAAGAAGCUUGGUGUGGUUUUCAGGACAAAGAAGGUGGGAUCAAAAAGUCUUAAACAGUUAUAAUGUAAAAAAGCCAGAGAAUGUCCUUUUGGCACCUUGUCCUUGUGUCAGCUUCCCUGGGGCAAGGGCUACACCUCCUUUAAUAUUGAGAGCCCUGGGAAAUCUAAGUGAAAGCAGGAUCUUCAGGAAAAGGCUUGCUAAAGCCUUCACAGCACUGAUGCUUCCCAAAUUUCCCCAGCCCAAGGUAGUCCUUGCAUUUAGGCUUGCAAGGCAGUUGUUGGAGAUCUUCUAUAGUGUUUGGAUGAGGAAUUUGUCCCAGCCAGCCGGGGGUGAGGAUCUCACCCUGCUUUCUUCAAAGAUGAUUUUGUCAUGAGUG